This 449-nucleotide ribosomal RNA is filed under the name bacterium Urfm93. Its description in RNAcentral is "bacterial SSU rRNA". It matches the Rfam family "Bacterial small subunit ribosomal RNA", at positions 157 to 618 of the family's 1533-position model. The record is from RNAcentral.
CUGGGUCUAAUACUGGAUACUACAUUCUCUCGCAAGGGGGUGUGUGGAAAGGGUUUUACUGGUUUUGGAUGGGCUCACGGCCUAUCACCUUGUUGGUGGGGUAAUGGCCUACCAAGGCGACGACGGGUAGCCGGCCUGAGAGGGUGACCGGCCACACUGGGACUGAUACACGGCCCAGACUCCUACGGGAGGCAGCAGUGGGGAAUAUUGCACAAUGGGCGAAAGCCUGAUGCAACGACGCCGCGUGAGGGAUGACGGCCUUCGGGUUGUAAACCUCUUUCAGCACGGAAGAAGCGAAAGUGACGGUACGUGCAGAAGAAGCGCCGGCUAACUACGUGCCAGCAGCCGCGGUAAUACGUAUGGCGCACGCGUUGUCCGGAAUUAUUGGGCGUAAAGAGCUCGUAGGCGGUUUGUCGCGUCUGCUGUGAAAGCCCGGGGCUUAACCCCGU